Molecule: ribosomal RNA, 126 nt
Filed under: Ralfsiella minima
Lineage: Eukaryota; Bacillariophyta; Thalassiosirophyceae; Eupodiscales; Odontellaceae
Source: RNAcentral
UGCUUUGCUCUUUCUAGCCUAGUAGAACCACACUGAUCCAUCUCGAACUCAGUUCUGUGAAAUUCUAGAGCACUGACGAUACUCUGCACGGGAGUGCAUUGGGGAAAAUAAGUCAAGAGUAAAGCU